This 816-nucleotide ribosomal RNA is filed under the name uncultured Alphaproteobacteria bacterium. RNAcentral's name for it is "bacterial SSU rRNA". It matches the Rfam family "Bacterial small subunit ribosomal RNA", at positions 84 to 937 of the family's 1533-position model. The record is from RNAcentral. Lineage: Bacteria; Pseudomonadati; Pseudomonadota; Alphaproteobacteria.
AGCAAUACUUAGUGGCAGACGGGUGAGUAACAUGUGGGUAUCUACCCUUUGGCCUGGAAUAACACGAGGAAACUUGUGCUAAUACCGGAUAAGUCUUUACGGAGAAAGCUUUAUGCACCAUUGGAUGAGCCCGCACUUGAUUAGUUUGUUGGUAGGGUAAUGGCCUACCAAGACUAUGAUCAAUAGCUGAUUUGAGAGGAUGAUCAGCCACAUUGGGACUGAGACACGGCCCAAACUCCUACGGGAGGCAGCAGUGGGGAAUCUUGCACAAUGGAGGAAACUCUGAUGCAGCGAUGCCGCGUGAGUGAAGAAGGCCUUUGGGUUGUAAAGCUCUUUCGUCGGGGAAGAAAAUGACUGUACCCGAAUAAGAAGGUCCGGCUAACUUCGUGCCAGCAGCCGCGGUAAUACGAAGGGACCUAGCGUAGUUCGGAAUUACUGGGCUUAAAGAGUUCGUAGGUGGUUGAAAAAGUUGGUGGUGAAAUCCCAGAGCUUAACUCUGGAACUGCCAUCAAAACUUUUCAGCUAGAGUAUGAUAGAGGAAAGCAGAAUUUCUAGUGUAGAGGUGAAAUUCGUAGAUAUUAGAAAGAAUACCAAUUGCGAAGGCAGCUUUCUGGAUCAUUACUGACACUGAGGAACGAAAGCAUGGGUAGCGAAGAGGAUUAGAUACCCUCGUAGUCCAUGCCGUANACGAUGUGUGUUAGACGUUGGAAAUUUAUUUUCAGUGUCGCAGGGAAACCGAUAAACACACCGCCUGGGGAGUACGACCGCAAGGUUAAAACUCAAAUGAAUUGACGGGGACCCGCACAAGUAGUGGAG